This 3170-nucleotide long non-coding RNA is filed under the name Gallus gallus (chicken). RNAcentral describes it as "lncRNA (ENSGALG00010011290.1)". Lineage: Eukaryota; Metazoa; Chordata; Aves; Galliformes; Phasianidae. The record is from RNAcentral.
GCCAUUGCAGGCUCCUCUGGAGAGGCUCUCCAGGACAGUAAGUUACACAGCGACAUCCACCUCCGGGCUGCCAAAUCCUGACAGCUCAAAACAAUGGAACAAAGAGUAACGGGAAAAGAACAGUCCACACCACCGCAUCCAGCAUUGUCCUGGAUUCCCUUCGGCUUGCUUACAAUGAGUGACGUCCUUCGGUCUGGGGCGCACCACUUCUGCCAGGAUCGACCCCAGCCCAUGCCCCAAACUUGGGAACCAUGCCACAGCCAACAGCGACGCAAUGUAUAAGUCAUUAGGCAAGAGAAACUGAAGUCACUUGAUUUUUAUCAUUAUUAUUCCCCACACAACAACAGCUUGUCCCUCUCCCCAGUUUACUUCUGCCUCCAUUUAUCCCACCAUGCCCACCAGUAAUCCAGACCCUCCAGAGCACAGAACGGGGACAAAACCUUCCAAUAUGCAGUUUCCCAGGCAGAGCCAUGAGGAGCUAAUCUCUGUGUACAUUAUGUGAACUGAAGUAACUAAUUUAGCAGCUUAUUCCCCCAGGUAGCCAGUGACCACUGUAUGUCCCUGCUAUUUAAUUUGACAGUUAACCUUCUGAGGGCUGGUAGUCAUUUUAGAUUAACCUCUGUAUCUUAAAAAUUAGUAAGCAAUUUCCUUCAGGUUAAUUUUUUUUUUAAUUGUUAAUUUUUCCACCUAUUUCCAGUGGUCAUCUCAUCUCCCACAUUUGUUUGCCCUUUUUAAUGUAUCACUUUGUGAAUCAGAACUGGUGGAGGGUAGGGGGACGCACUACUAAGAAGCUGGAAAACAUUUUUAAAGAAGUAAGACGAAGCAUUUGUGCCAUAGUUUACAAUUAUAAUAAAAUAAAUCUAGAAACCAUUUCAUGUAUGAGAGCGUGUAUAUUAGAAAAAAAUAUUCCUCUCUAUAAUGGAUAACCAUCUUAGGAACAGUAGAAUGUGAGUAAUUUGUCAGUUUUUCUUUUAAUUAAAACUGUGAAUAUAGUUCAUGCACUGUUUGAUUCAGCAUCAGCAUUUUGGAUGGGGGCUAAAACCGAUUUCCUCUUAAAUCUGUGGGUUUCUCAGGACAACUGGUGAAGUGUGCCUUAAUAUUAAGCUCUUGAACCCAAGAGAGGUUGGCUUGUUCCAAGACCAGUAAAUCAACAGAUAUUGGAGUAAUAGCUCUAAUAAGGCUCAGGACUUCUAACAGUUCUGUAAAUGCUCUUUUUACCAAAACAGCAUCCAUUUUUUCUCUCAGACAACCUGUUUUAAUUCAUUGCAUCAUUACCAAGCUGGUCCACUGUAAAAUGAAUUAAAAUCAUGCUAGUUAGAACAGAUUCAUUCUAGGUAUUUUUCUCAAUGCAAUCCAUGGAACAUUGAACUUUUUUUUUUUUUUUUUUGACAAGCAAGAAAUCUGCCUGACCUAACUCUGAAUCAUUUUUUUUUUAUCGUUGCUACCUUGCAUUUUCCUUGGGAGACGAUUUAAACCAGUGUGAAUUGAGGGUGCUCUGUUCCCACCUUGCAGUGGGCAGGCACACAGUACCCGUGCCCAUUCCAGAACUGUAUCAAGAUCUGCCUAACCGAAAUACAGUACAGUGUGCUCCUUCUGCAGAAAUGUGAAAGCAUGAAUAUACUUUUCUUUUUUUUUUUUUUUUUUUUUUUUUUUUGCUGAGAAGAGGAUGAGCAAAGAAUAUCAUAUGGGUUGGAUAUCAAAGUUUGCAUCCCUCUGCUUCUGCGUUAGACUCAUCUCCCACAUCUCCCUCCCCACAGCUCCAACCAUUCAGGGAGCAGAAAUCACUGUUAUGCUUCCAGGAAACUCUCAUCCCUUGCAGUAUUCAGCUUUAAGUUUUAGUUCCUGCUACCUCACCUGUUUUGACAAAUACCCACAGCACUCAAUAAAAUUAAAACAUCAAUGAACAAAACAGAUCCGUAUGAAGUUUUCCCCACAGAUUAGGAAAGGAGAGGAAGCACAUCUGGUAGAGGAGCGUCGUGUUGCUAAAUAUGUUCAAGUUCCACUCUGAUAGGUUGGAAAGAAUCACAGUGCUGGUGCUGCUGCAUUCCCAGUCUGUCACCGAGAACAACUUCAAAAUACAGAGGUUGCAUGAGACUUCCCUCCAGAACAUCCUCUUACUGCAAGAAGCUGAAGAAAAGUCUCACGUGUUCCCCACCAGUGAAAACAUUCCUGCAGGCUUCACACCCAUUGGCAGCUCACCCUGCGAGCUUCAACCAAGGGUAUGCCAAGGCCGCACCAUGCCCUGCACCUCGUUUAGGAAGUUGCCUGCUCUAAUCUGCCUUUCUAAAAAUCUUAAAGAAUCCAGAAAGAGUGAUACACAGCCCUCUUCCACUUGCAGGUGAUGCAUCUGACAGCAGAAGUGACCAUGCUGCACAGUGGCUGCUUGCUCCUCACCUGCCCAACGGGCAAGUGACAGCGUUGGGCCCAAAGCCUCUGGGACUUUGCUUCAGGAACUGCUCUAAGCCUCUGCCUCAGGAGGCUGUUGCUGCAGGGAAUUUUCCUCCAUCAGCAGGAACUGAAGCAGCUGCAGGAGCUGCAGAUGUAGACUCUAAAUCAUCGUGUCUUUCCCUCUUUCAGGACAAGCUCCUGAGAGAAUUUGGUUUACCACACAUCUGACGUGUGUUUAUGUGUUGCGGAAUGGGAGUAAUGCAAUGAUUCUCAGGGCAUAACUAUUGUGAAAAAAUCAGAGGAGUUUUCAUCUCCCCCUCCGCUUCCCCCCCCCCCCCCCUCCUCCUCAAGGUAGCAUUCCCACAGCAUCACCUUUGGGUAGCUGCUGUUCCAAACCAAAGCAGAUCAUGGUAAUCUAUAAGUAGCCAAAGAAAUGAGAGAUUUCACCUGUGGCUGCAGCACUUCUACUUAUCUCAAGGGCUCUUUAACUAAAUUUAGGUAAGCAAGGAGAAGAGGGCUCUGAACAUCGGUAUCCGAGCGUCUCAAUUGCAUGCCUUGAAACAAAUGUGCCAUGAAGGCAGUCUCAACGGAGGAUACACAACUGCGAAGAAAUAAGAGAGAGGAAAAAAAGAAAAUCUUCAUGUCUCGAACUCAGUUUACCUGCAGUAACUUUAGUCCAGUUACCCCAUGUCAAAAAUAAUCAGGAAGAAGAAUGAUAAAGCGCGAGAGCAUUCUGGGGAAGGCUGCGAUCCCAGUGACACCUCCUUCCCCUGCUUGCCCAG